This 22-nucleotide non-coding RNA is filed under the name Arabidopsis thaliana (thale cress). The record is from RNAcentral. Lineage: Eukaryota; Viridiplantae; Streptophyta; Magnoliopsida; Brassicales; Brassicaceae.
AUACUGUUCCGCUAAUUAGCCU